GACGAACGCUGGCGGCGUGCCUAACACAUGCAAGUCGAACGGAAAGGCCCUGCUUUUGUGGGGUGCUCGAGUGGCGAACGGGUGAGUAACACGUGGGUAACCUGCCCUUGACUUUGGGAUAACUUCAGGAAACGGGGGCUAAUACCGGAUAGGAGCUGCUGUUGCAUGGCGGGGGGUGGAAAGGUUCGGCGGUUGGGGAUGGACUCGCGGCUUAUCAGCUUGUUGGUGGGGUAGUGGCUUACCAAGGCUUUGACGGGUAGCCGGCCUGAGAGGGUGACCGGCCACAUUGGGACUGAGAUACGGCCCAGACUCCUACGGGAGGCAGCAGUGGGGAAUAUUGCACAAUGGGCGGAAGCCUGAUGCAGCAACGCCGCGUGCGGGAUGACGGCCUUCGGGUUGUAAACCGCUUUCGCCUGUGACGAAGCGUGAGUGACGGUAAUGGGUAAAGAAGCACCGGCUAACUACGUG
Molecule: ribosomal RNA, 468 nt
Filed under: uncultured bacterium
Lineage: Bacteria
Description: partial 16S ribosomal RNA
Rfam family: Bacterial small subunit ribosomal RNA
Source: RNAcentral